UGGGGAAUUUUGGACAAUGGGCGAAAGCCUGAUCCAGCAAUGCCGCGUGUGUGAAGAAGGCCUUCGGGUUGUAAAGCACUUUUGUCCGGAAAGAAAUCCUUGGCUCUAAUACAGUCGGGGGAUGACGGUACCGGAAGAAUAAGCACCGGCUAACUACGUGCCAGCAGCCGCGGUAAUACGUAGGGUGCAAGCGUUAAUCGGAAUUACUGGGCGUAAAGCGUGCGCAGGCGGUUUGCUAAGACCGAUGUGAAAUCCCCGGGCUCAACCUGGGAACUGCAUUGGUGACUGGCAGGCUAGAGUAUGGCAGAGGGGGUAGAAUUCCACGUGUAGCAGUGAAAUGCGUAGAGAUGUGGAGGAAUACCGAUGGCGAAGGCAGCCCCUGGGCAAGUACUGACGCUCAUGCACGAAAGCGUGGGGAGCAAAACAGGAUUAGAUACCCUGGUAGUCCACGCCCUAAAACGAUGUCAACUAGUUGUUGGGGAUUCAUUUCCUUAGUAACGUAGCUAACGCGUGAAGUUGACCGCCUGGGGAGUACGGUCGCAAGAUUAAAACUCAAAGGAAUUGACGGGGUCAUAGCUGUUUCCU
Molecule: ribosomal RNA, 585 nt
Filed under: uncultured bacterium
Lineage: Bacteria
Description: partial 16S ribosomal RNA
Rfam family: Bacterial small subunit ribosomal RNA
Source: RNAcentral